Non-coding RNA from Camellia sinensis, 661 nucleotides. The record is from RefSeq and is a predicted model, not a curated record. NCBI's taxonomy places the organism in Eukaryota, Viridiplantae, Streptophyta, Magnoliopsida, Ericales, Theaceae.
AAGAUAAAUUCAAAUUCAUAUGAAUUAUUAGAACAAUAAUAAUUGAAAAACAAUAAAAAUAAAUAACUUAACAACGUCCAAACUUUCCAUGUCAAAACAACCUUCUUAGUAACAUUGUUGUUAAUGAGCACAAGCACAUUCAGCACACAACUACUAAAAACAAGUAGCUAAAAGAGGAAUAUUACCGAGUCAAGAAACAGAGGCUGAUCGCCUUCCAAGAAGAUUUGGUUUCCAUGGAUUUGUAACUUUUUUUUCCUUUAUAUAUUGUUUCUAUUGGUAAGACAAAUAACUAGAAUUUCCCAGAAUUGUUUUCUUAGUUGAAAUUAGUAGAUUGCUUGGCUUAAAAUUCUUCUUGUACAAAAAAAUUGCAGGUUAUUAACGAUAGGUUUGGCAUUGUUGAGGGUCUUAUGACCACUGUUCACUCCAUUACCGCCACUCAAAAGACUGGUGACGGGCCAUCAAGCAAAGACUGGAGAGGUGGAAGAGCUGCUUCCUUUAACAUUAUUCCCAGCAGCACUGGAGCUGCCAAGUUUACUCCUGAUAGUAUAUGUUUCGUGGUCUUGUGGCCUUCCGAGUUCCAACUGUGGAUGUUUCAGUUGUGGACCUCACUGUGAGGCUUGAGAAGGUAGCUACAAACCAGCAAGUCAAAGAUGCUAUCAAG